This 251-nucleotide ribosomal RNA is filed under the name uncultured bacterium. RNAcentral's name for it is "partial 16S ribosomal RNA". It matches the Rfam family "Bacterial small subunit ribosomal RNA", at positions 524 to 776 of the family's 1533-position model. The record is from RNAcentral.
GACAGAGGAUGCAAGCGUUAUCCGGAAUGAUUGGGCGUAAAGCGUCUGUAGGUGGCUUUUUAAGUCCGCCGUCAAAUCCCCAGGGCUCAACCCUGGACAGGCGGUGGAAACUACCAAGCUGGAGUACGGUAGGGGCAGAGGGAAUUUCCGGUGGAGCGGUGAAAUGCGCAGAUAUCGGGAGGAACACCGGUGGCGAAGGCGGUUCUCUGGGCCUCCUGACACUGAGGAGCGAAAGCGUGGGAGCGAACAGG